This 303-nucleotide ribosomal RNA is filed under the name uncultured bacterium. RNAcentral describes it as "bacterial SSU rRNA". It matches the Rfam family "Bacterial small subunit ribosomal RNA", at positions 355 to 650 of the family's 1533-position model. The record is from RNAcentral.
UUAGGAAUAUUCGUCAAUGGGGGAAACCCUGAACGAGCAAUGCCGCGUGAAGGAUGACGGUCCUAUGGAUUGUAAACUUCUGUUGUUAGGGAAGAACGGCCUAUGUAGGAAAUGACAUAGGAGUGACGGUACCUUUCAAGAAAGCUCCGGCUAACUACGUGCCAGCAGCCGCGGUAAUACGUAGGGAGCAAGCGUUAUCCGGAUUUAUUGGGUGUAAAGGGUGCGUAGGCGGUUUAAUAGGUCUGUGGUCUAAGUCCGAAGCUUAACUUCGGUUCGCCAUAGAAACCGUUAAACUUGAGUAUG